GUGUCAGCCGCCGCGGUAAUACGAAGGGGGCUAGCGUUGCUCGGAAUUACUGGGCGUAAAGGGCGCGUAGGCGGAUGUUUAAGUCGGGGGUGAAAGCCCGGGGCUCAACCUCGGAAUUGCCUUCGAUACUGGACAUCUUGAGUACGGGAGAGGUGAGUGGAACUCCGAGUGUAGAGGUGAAAUUCGUAGAUAUUCGGAAGAACACCAGUGGCGAAGGCGACUCACUGGCCCGUUACUGACGCUGAGGCGCGAAAGCGUGGGGAGCAAACAGGAUUAGAUACCCGGGUAGUCC
Molecule: ribosomal RNA, 292 nt
Filed under: uncultured bacterium
Lineage: Bacteria
Description: partial 16S ribosomal RNA
Rfam family: Bacterial small subunit ribosomal RNA
Source: RNAcentral